UACGAAGUGGGCUAGCGUUGUUCGGAAUUACUGGGCGUAAAGCGCACGUAGGCGGUCUAUUAAGUCAGGGGUGAAAUCCCGGGGCUCAACCCCGGAACUGCCUUUGAUACUGGUAGUCUCGAGUCCGGAAGAGGUGAGUGGAAUUCCGAGUGUAGAGGUGAAAUUCGUAGAUAUUCGGAGGAACACCAGUGGCGAGGGCGGCUCACUGGUCCGGUACUGACGCUGAGGUGCGAAAGCGUGGGGAGCAAACAGG
This 253-nucleotide ribosomal RNA is filed under the name uncultured bacterium. Its description in RNAcentral is "partial 16S ribosomal RNA". It matches the Rfam family "Bacterial small subunit ribosomal RNA", at positions 524 to 776 of the family's 1533-position model. The record is from RNAcentral.